RNAcentral lists this transfer RNA (75 nucleotides) under Trichonephila inaurata madagascariensis. It matches the Rfam family "tRNA". Rfam says of the family: Transfer RNA (tRNA) molecules are approximately 80 nucleotides in length. The record is from Rfam by way of RNAcentral. Lineage: Eukaryota; Metazoa; Arthropoda; Arachnida; Araneae; Nephilidae.
GUCUCAGCAGCGCAAUGGAGAUAGCGCGUUGUACUUAUAAUUCAAAAGUCGUGGGUUCGAAUCCCACCUGCGAUG